GUAGUCCACGCCGUAAACGUUGGGCGCUAGGUGUGGGGGCCAUUCCACGGUCUCCGUGCCGCAGCUAACGCAUUAAGCGCCCCGCCUGGGGAGUACGGCCGCAAGGCUAAAACUCAAAGGAAUUGACGGGGGCCCGCACAAGCGGCGGAGCAUGUUGCUUAAUUCGAUGCAACGCGAAGAACCUUACCUAGGCUUGACAUGCACGGAAAUCUCGUAGAGAUACGGGGUGCCUUUGGCGUCGUGCACAGGUGGUGCAUGGUUGUCGUCAGCUCGUGUCGUGAGAUGUUGGGUUAAGUCCCGCAACGAGCGCAACCCUCGUCCUAUGUUGCCAGCACGUGAUGGUGGGGACU
RNAcentral lists this ribosomal RNA (350 nucleotides) under uncultured Geodermatophilaceae bacterium. Its description in RNAcentral is "bacterial SSU rRNA". It matches the Rfam family "Bacterial small subunit ribosomal RNA", at positions 790 to 1139 of the family's 1533-position model. Lineage: Bacteria; Bacillati; Actinomycetota; Actinomycetes; Geodermatophilales; Geodermatophilaceae. The record is from RNAcentral.